Molecule: long non-coding RNA, 1025 nt
Organism: Helianthus annuus (common sunflower)
Lineage: Eukaryota; Viridiplantae; Streptophyta; Magnoliopsida; Asterales; Asteraceae
Exons: 3
Source: RefSeq, a predicted model, not a curated record
UUACGAUUCACCCUGAAAUAUAUUUCUUCCCGCCCAUCACAAAAUCCCAAACUUCUUUUAUCUUUUGAAACCUACCCCAAAAUUAAACAUGACGACCUUUCUUUUUGAAACCAAAGAUCCAGCAGAGAGCAAGGCAAUCUUCCCAAUCGCUGUGCGGGUACACUGUCAUGCCGACGUGAAGGAAUCUUCAAGUCAAAGCCAGAGACGCCGACUGCAAUCCCGAUAGUCAAUAAAACAAAACGCGACGAAAAGGAAAAAUGAAAUGACAAAAAUGCCCUUGGCAGCUUGAACAGAUAUGGAUGGAGUUAAGUCAGUUGGACCAAAAUGGCAACGAUGAAACCUUUUUGAAUCCAGAUGUUAAAAAUGAAACCUUUGGACUGAACUGGCAAAAUUGGCCAAACCAAAGGGACUAAAAUGGCAAUUUACUCUUUUAGAAAAGAGUUUGCUUUUAAGUAGAAUACAUUUAUUGUUUUCAUUUUGCUUUUUCUGUCAGAUAACAAACAUCAUAUAUUUAUGUGGUAUGUUUAAGUCUACCUCUGUAUUCUUUUGUUUCUGCUAUUUAAUUUAUUAAUAUUUUCACUUGUUAUAUCAACACGAUUUAUGUUACUAAUAGUAGUAGUAUCAGCAGAUAAUGUGAACUACUCUAUUACUGUUAUUGUACCAUCAUGUGAUUAUAUUAUUGUUGCUUCAUUAAAACAAGUCAUAUUAAAGGAAAUAAGUGGUAAACUAGAAACCUUAGUUGAAUCACAUAAUGGGCUCUGGAUUCUUAUUUCGAUUGAGCCACCCAUAUCUCUAAUCCUCAACCAGCACCACGUCUUUGUUCUAGAAUAAGAUGGUUGUGGUCUGCUAUCGUUAUGAAUAAGAUGGUAGAGAAGGUUGCUGAUUUUGAAAAACCCUCACUUUGAAGCCUGUUUUUUGUGAUGGUGUUAUUGAUCCUAACGCCUACCAAUGAAAUCUGAUUAGUUAAGUGGGAUACCCCAUUUGAAUAAUGCUAGGAAACACAAGUACCUGGAAGCCCUUGAUAG